RNAcentral lists this ribosomal RNA (497 nucleotides) under uncultured bacterium. RNAcentral's name for it is "partial 16S ribosomal RNA". It matches the Rfam family "Bacterial small subunit ribosomal RNA", at positions 28 to 507 of the family's 1533-position model. The record is from RNAcentral.
GAUGAACGCUGGCGGCGUGCCUAAUACAUGCAAGUCGAGCGAACGGACGAGAAGCUUGCUUCUCUGAUGUUAGCGGCGGACGGGUGAGUAACACGUGGAUAACCUACCUAUAAGACUGGGAUAACUUCGGGAAACCGGAGCUAAUACCGGAUGAUAUUUUGAACCGCAUGGUUCAAAAGUGAAAGACGGUCUUGCUGUCACUUAUAGAUGGAUCCGCGCUGCAUUAGCUAGUUGGUAAGGUAACGGCUUACCAAGGCAACGAUGCAUAGCCGACCUGAGAGGGUGAUCGGCCACACUGGAACUGAGGCACGGUCCAGCCUCCUACGGGAGGCAGCAGUAGGGAAUCUUCCGCAAUGGGCGAAAGCCUGACGGAGCAACGCCGCGUGAGUGAUGAAGGUCUUCGGAUCGUAAAACUCUGUUAUUAGGGAAGAACAUAUGUGUAAGUAACUGUGCACAUCUUGACGGUACCUAAUCAGAAAGCCACGGCUAACUACGUG